RNAcentral lists this ribosomal RNA (609 nucleotides) under uncultured marine bacterium. Its description in RNAcentral is "bacterial SSU rRNA". It matches the Rfam family "Bacterial small subunit ribosomal RNA", at positions 56 to 646 of the family's 1533-position model. The record is from RNAcentral.
UGCAAGUCAAGGAGAACAUUAUCUUCGGAUAAUAAGUAAACUGGCGAACGGGUGAGUAACGCGUAAAUAACUUGCCUCAGAGAUUGGGACAACAUUGGGAAACCAGUGCUAAUACCAAAUAAUGCAGCGGGCUCUUAGGAGCACAGUUGUUAAAGUAGGCUUCGGCUUACACUUUGAGAUAGGUUUGCGUCCGAUUAGUUUGUUGGUGGGGUAACUGCCUACCAAGACUAAGAUCGGUAGCUGGUCUGAGAGGAUGAUCAGCCACACUGGAAUUGAGAUACGGUCCAGACUCCUACGGGAGGCAGCAGUAAGGAAUUUUGCACAAUGGGCGAAAGCCUGAUGCAGCAACGCCGCGUGAACGAUGAAGUUUUUAGGAAUGUAAAGUUCUGUCGUAUGGGAAGAGAUCUUUCGAAUGUUAAUACCAUUCGUUAAUGACGGUACCAUACAAGAAAGCACCGGCUAACUUCGUGCCAGCAGCCGCGGUAAUACGAGGGGUGCUAGCGUUGUCCGGAUUUACUGGGCGUAAAGGGUACGUAGGCGUUUUAAAAAGUUGUAUGUUAAAUAUCUUAGCUUAACUAAGAAAGUGCAUACAAAACUGUUAAAAUAGAG